GGCGCUAUCGUCUAGUGGUUAGGACAUGGCCCUCUCAAGGCCAAGGCACGGGUUCGAAUCCCGUUAGCGCUACCA
This 75-nucleotide transfer RNA is filed under the name Acidobacteriota bacterium. RNAcentral describes it as "tRNA-Glu". It matches the Rfam family "tRNA". Rfam says of the family: Transfer RNA (tRNA) molecules are approximately 80 nucleotides in length. Their secondary structure includes four short double-helical elements and three loops (D, anti-codon, and T loops). The record is from RNAcentral. RNAcentral also lists the same sequence under 1 other name. Lineage: Bacteria; Pseudomonadati; Acidobacteriota.